CCUACGGGUGGCAGCAGUGAGGAAUAUUGGUCAAUGGACGCGAGUCUGAACCAGCCAAGUAGCGUGAAGGAUGACUGCCCUAUGGGUUGUAAACUUCUUUUAUAUGGGAAUAAAAUGUUCCACGUGUGGGAUUUUGUAUGUACCAUAUGAAUAAGGAUCGGCUAACUCCGUGCCAGCAGCCGCGGUAAUAAGGAGGAUCCGAGCGUUAUCCGGAUUUAUUGGGUUUAAAGGGAGCGUAGGUGGCUUGUUAAGUCAGUUGUGAAAGUUUGCGGCUCAACCGUAAAAUUGCAGUUGAAACUGGCAGUCUUGAGUACAGUAGAGGUGGGCGGAAUUCGUGGUGUAGCGGUGAAAUGCUUAGAUAUCACGAAGAACUCCGAUUGCGAAGGCAGUUCACUGGACUGCAACUGACACUGAGGCUCGAAAGUGUGGGUAUCAAACAGGAUUAGAUACCCGAGUAGUC
Molecule: ribosomal RNA, 460 nt
Filed under: uncultured bacterium
Lineage: Bacteria
Description: partial 16S ribosomal RNA
Rfam family: Bacterial small subunit ribosomal RNA
Source: RNAcentral